AACUCAGCCGCUGCUUGAGCAGCCGAGGUAGCAUCCUUAAAUUUUAUGUUCCAAUUAUGCAUGCCAAUAGAAAAUUUACCAUCUCCAGGAUAUGAUUGCCCAUGUUCCAACCUUUUAUCCUUGAAACCUAAGUGGCUUGAACCAUCAUCAUCAACACAAUAUUGCCUUAAAAGUUCUACAACAGCUCUGGCAGCUAGGUUUGCAUGUUCUGCAAACUCAGCUGCUGCUUGAUUAGCAGAGGUAACAUCCUUAAAUUUCAAGCUCCAAUUCUGCCUUCCAAUAGAAAAUUUACCAUCUCCAGAAAAUGAUUGCCCAUGUUCCAACCUUUUAUCCUUGAAAACUACGUGGCAUGAACCAUCAUCAUCAACACAAUAUUGCCUUGAAAGUUCUACAACAGCUCUGGUAGCUAGGCUUGCAUAUUCUGCAAACUUAGCCGCUACUUGACCAGUAGAGGUAGCAUCCUUAAAUUUCAUGUU
This 476-nucleotide long non-coding RNA is filed under the name Nicotiana tabacum (common tobacco). RNAcentral describes it as "long non-coding RNA (NTAB_LNC017031)". Lineage: Eukaryota; Viridiplantae; Streptophyta; Magnoliopsida; Solanales; Solanaceae. The record is from RNAcentral.